This is a small nuclear RNA of Nycticebus coucang (slow loris), 103 nucleotides long. Lineage: Eukaryota; Metazoa; Chordata; Mammalia; Primates; Lorisidae. The record is from RefSeq and is a predicted model, not a curated record.
GCUCACUUAGGCAGCACAUAAUGGAAUUGGAAUGAUACAGAGAAGAUUAGCAUGGCCCCUGCACAUGGAUGACACGCAAAUUCACGAAGCGUUCCAUAUUUUA